GAUGAACGCUGGCGGCGUGCCUAAUACAUGCAAGUAGAACGCUGAAGGAGGAGCUUGCUCUUCUGGAUGAGUUGCGAACGGGUGAGUAACGCGUAGGUAACCUGCCUGGUAGCGGGGGAUAACUAUUGGAAACGAUAGCUAAUACCGCAUGACAACAGUUAUUGCAUGAUAACUGUUUAAAAGGGGCAACUGCUCCACUACCAGAUGGACCUGCGUUGUAUUAGCUAGUUGGUGAGGUAACGGCUCACCAAGGCGACGAUACAUAGCCGACCUGAGAGGGUGAUCGGCCACACUGGGACUGAGACACGGCCCAGACUCCUACGGGAGGCAGCAGUAGGGAAUCUUAGGCAAUGGACGGAAGUCUGACCGAGCAACGCCGCGGGAGUGAAGAAGGUUGUCGGAUCGUAAAGCUCUGUUGUAAGAGAAGAACGAGUGUGAGAGUGGAAAGUUCACACUGUGACGGUAGCUUACCAGAAAGGGACGGCUAACUACGUG
This 495-nucleotide ribosomal RNA is filed under the name uncultured bacterium. RNAcentral describes it as "partial 16S ribosomal RNA". It matches the Rfam family "Bacterial small subunit ribosomal RNA", at positions 28 to 507 of the family's 1533-position model. The record is from RNAcentral.